Molecule: ribosomal RNA, 526 nt
Rfam family: Bacterial large subunit ribosomal RNA
GCCUGCCCAGUGACCAUGUGUUCAACGGCCGCGGUAUUCUGACCGCGCGAAGGUAGCGUAAUCACUUGUUUUUUAAAUAAAGACUAGUAUGAAUGGCCGCACGAGGACUUAACUGUCUCCUUUGUCCAAUCAGUGAAACUGAUCUCCUCGUGCAGAAGCGAGGAUGACGCCAUAAGACGAGAAGACCCUAUGGAGCUUUAGACUUCAAUAUCAAAUAUUUUACUAAACCCCUCUACAGAACUAACAAUAAACCAAAUACACUUGAUAUAAGUCUUAGGUUGGGGCGACCAUGGAGAAAAAAAAAUCCUCCAUGACUUCUAAACCAAGAGCUACAGCUCUAAGUUUUUAGACACUUACUCCUAUUGACCCACUUUGUGAUCAACGAACCAAGUUACCCUAGGGAUAACAGCGCAAUCUGCUUCAAGAGUCCUUAUCGACAAGCGGGUUUACGACCUCGAUGUUGGAUCAGGGCAUCCAAGUGGUGCAGCCGCUACUAAAGGUUCGUUUGUUCAACGAUUAAAGCCCU